CCAAGAUUGCAAGAGUUGGGAAUCGGAAUAGGGCGACCUGCUUUCAAACGGUGGAAGAACCAUUCUUCGACCGGAUUAUAAUUCAAAGGUCCGUAAAUGUAGACGGGUCUCAAAGAUGUCCAAUUAACACCCCUCGUCUUGAGUAAGCUCUCGGUAUUAAGUUUUCCCUUGUGCCUACUCUUCGGAUCGACUGCAUCAACCUAUCUCCAGGCCACCAACGAGUUAGAAGCGAUCAUACAUGUACAUAACAAAUGUCAAUGAAACAUGAAUGGAAUUGACAAUCCCUACCUCACAAUGUGGUAAAAUAUCAGAUUUGAGGUAAACGCCAGCUGAGGAGCAGUAUAUGAACCUGAGAAUUAGCAGA
This is a long non-coding RNA of Hibiscus syriacus, 364 nucleotides long. RefSeq lists it as uncharacterized. The transcript has 3 exons. NCBI's taxonomy places the organism in Eukaryota, Viridiplantae, Streptophyta, Magnoliopsida, Malvales, Malvaceae. The record is from RefSeq and is a predicted model, not a curated record.